AACGAACGCUGGCGGCAUGCCUAACACAUGCAAGUCGAACGAGACCUUCGGGUCGAGUGGCGCACGGGUGCGUAACGCGUGGUAACCUGCCCUUAGGUUCGGAGUAACUCCCCGAAAGGGGUGCUAAUAUCGGAUAAUGUCUCCGGACCAAAGAUUUAUCGCCCUUGGAUGGGCCCGCGUUGGUUUAGCUAGUUGGUAGGGUAAAAGCCUACCAAGGCGACGAUCCAUAGCUGGUCUGAGAGGAAGAUCAGCCACACUGGGACUGAGACACGGCCCAGACUCCUACGGGAGGCAGCAGUGGGGAAUAUUGGACAAUGGGCGAAAGGCUGAUCCAGCAAUGCCGGGUGAGUGAUGAAGGCCUUAGGGUUGUAAAGCUCUUUUACCCGGGAUGAUAAUGACAGUACCGGGAGAAUAAGCUCCGGCUAACUCCGUG
Molecule: ribosomal RNA, 433 nt
Filed under: uncultured bacterium
Lineage: Bacteria
Description: partial 16S ribosomal RNA
Rfam family: Bacterial small subunit ribosomal RNA
Source: RNAcentral